AGAGUAGACAUCCAAAGGGAUCGCAUUGAUCCUUUAUUAUAUAAAAGUUUUUCAAUGAAAAAACCCUUUUUUUGUUGUUAAAUUUUUAACAAUUUUGGAUCAUGCUAUCCCUUUGGAUUCCUCCUU
This is a non-coding RNA of Corchorus olitorius, 126 nucleotides long. Lineage: Eukaryota; Viridiplantae; Streptophyta; Magnoliopsida; Malvales; Malvaceae. The record is from Rfam.